Molecule: ribosomal RNA, 416 nt
Filed under: uncultured prokaryote
Description: bacterial SSU rRNA
Rfam family: Bacterial small subunit ribosomal RNA
Source: RNAcentral
GUGUCAGCAGCCGCGGUAAGACGGAGGAGGCAAGCGUUGUCCGGAAUCAUUGGGCGUAAAGAGCGCGUAGGCGGUUUUUCAAGUCGUAUGUGAAAACUUCAGGCUUAACCUGAUGAUUGCAUAUGAAACUGGAUAACUUGAGUACAGCAGAGGAAAGUGGAAUUCCUGGUGUAGCGGUGAAAUGUGCAGAUAUCAGGAAGAACACCAGUAGCGAAGGCGGCUUUCUGGGCUGUUACUGACGCUGAGGCGCGAAAGCUAGGGGAGCGAACAGGAUUAGAUACCCUGGUAGUCCUAGCCGUAAACGAUGGACACUAGGCGUGGGAAGUUAUCGACGCUUUCUGUGCCGAAGCUAACGCAUUAAGUGUCCCGCCUGGGGAGUACGGCCGCAAGGCUAAAACUCAAAUGAAUUGACGGGG